AAAAUAUCUUACCCGAUAAAAUUGGAACGAUACAGAAAAAAUUAGCAUGACCCUUGCGUCAAGAUGACACGUACAAAUCGAAAAUGGUCAAAUUGAUUU
Molecule: small nuclear RNA, 99 nt
Organism: Erigeron canadensis
Lineage: Eukaryota; Viridiplantae; Streptophyta; Magnoliopsida; Asterales; Asteraceae
Source: RefSeq, a predicted model, not a curated record